GACGAACGCUGGCGGCAUGCCUAAUACAUGCAAGUCGAGCGAACAGAUGAAGUGCUUGCACUUCUGACGUUAGCGGCGAACGGGUGAGUAACACGUAAGGAAUCUACCUAUAAGCGGGGGAUAACAUCCGGAAACGGGUGCUAAUACCGCAUAAUAUCCUCUUCCGCAUGGAAGAAGAUUGAAAGACGGCUCUGCUGUCACUUAUAGAUGACCUUGCGGUGCAUUAGUUAGUUGGUGGGGUAAUGGCCUACCAAGACGAUGAUGCAUAGCCGACCUGAGAGGGUGAUCGGCCACAUUGGGACUGAGACACGGCCCAAACUCCUACGGGAGGCAGCAGUAGGGAAUCUUCCGCAAUGGGCGAAAGCCUGACGGAGCAAUGCCGCGUGAGUGAAGAAGGCCUUCGGGUCGUAAAACUCUGUUAUAAGAGAAGAACAAAUUGUAGAGUAACUGCUACAGUCUUGACGGUAUCUUAUCAGAAAGCCACGGCUAACUACGUGCCAGCCGCCGCGGUAA
Molecule: ribosomal RNA, 513 nt
Filed under: uncultured bacterium
Lineage: Bacteria
Description: partial 16S ribosomal RNA
Rfam family: Bacterial small subunit ribosomal RNA
Source: RNAcentral